CCAGACUCCUACGGGAGGCAGCAGUGGGGGAUAUUGCACAAUGGGGGGAACCCUGAUGCAGCGACGCCGCGUGUGGGAAGACGGUCCUCUGGAUUGUAAACCACUGUCCCCAGGGACGAAGAUGACGGUACCUGGGGAGGAAGCUCCGGCUAACUACGUGCCAGCAGCCGCGGUAAUACGUAGGGAGCGAGCGUUGUCCGGAAUUACUGGGUGUAAAGGGAGCGUAGGCGGGGCUGCAAGUUGGGUGUCAAAUCUACCGGCUCAACCGGUAGCCGCACUCAAAACUGCAGUUCUUGAGUGAAGUAGAGGCAGGCGGAAUUCCUAGUGUAGCGGUGAAAUGCGUAGAUAUUAGGAGGAACACCAGUGGCGGAGGCGGCCUGCUGGGCUUUUACUGACGCUGAGGCUCGAAAGUGUGGGGAGCAAACAGGAUUAGAUACCCUGGUAAGC
Molecule: ribosomal RNA, 447 nt
Filed under: uncultured bacterium
Lineage: Bacteria
Description: bacterial SSU rRNA
Rfam family: Bacterial small subunit ribosomal RNA
Source: RNAcentral